Molecule: ribosomal RNA, 497 nt
Filed under: uncultured bacterium
Lineage: Bacteria
Description: partial 16S ribosomal RNA
Rfam family: Bacterial small subunit ribosomal RNA
Source: RNAcentral
GACGAACGCUGGCGGCGUGCCUAAUACAUGCAAGUUGAGCGCUGAAGGUUGGUACUUGUACCAACUGGAUGAGCAGCGAACGGGUGAGUAACGCGUGGGGAAUCUGCCUUUGAGCGGGGGACAACAUUUGGAAACGAAUGCUAAUACCGCAUAAAAACUUUAAACACAAGUUUUAAGUUUGAAAGAUGCAAUUGCAUCACUCAAAGAUGAUCCCGCGUUGUAUUAGCUAGUUGGUGAGGUAAAGGCUCACCAAGGCGAUGAUACAUAGCCGACCUGAGAGGGUGAUCGGCCACAUUGGGACUGAGACACGGCCCAAACUCCUACGGGAGGCAGCAGUAGGGAAUCUUCGGCAAUGGACGAAAGUCUGACCGAGCAACGCCGCGUGAGUGAAGAAGGUUUUCGGAUCGUAAAACUCUGUUGGUAGAGAAGAACGUUGGUGAGAGCGGAAAGCUCAUCAAGUGACGGUAACUACCCAGAAAGGGGCGGCUAACUACGUG